This 602-nucleotide long non-coding RNA is filed under the name Marmota monax (woodchuck). Lineage: Eukaryota; Metazoa; Chordata; Mammalia; Rodentia; Sciuridae. The record is from RNAcentral.
GCAAACAUUAGAUCACAUCAACAAGACCAUGCAGAACUUCGCGUGACAACAAAGGCUUCUGGGAACCCAGACUCGGCCCCAAAGAAAAGAGAAACCCUGAGCACAGGCAGUGAGCCAGAGCGCUGGGAGCCUCACAGCCAGACUCAGGGGAUGCACACAGCCUUCAGCCCCACAGCACAAAAGAGCACCCCAAGGACAACACCCACCCAGCAACACACACAGACUCUCAGAACCAUCAUCCCGAAGCACCACCUCACAGGGCGGUUGUUGGACCCCAGACUGCACACCCCAAGUCCCCUUUCUGGGCCUUUGUUGUCCACCAGCCACUUCAGCAAAAGACUGCAGUGGGCCCACGGGGGGAUCUCAUCAUGGCGACCGACAAAAGGGAAAGCAUUAACCUGCGAAAAAGCCACAGACCAGGAAACGCUGCAGGACAGGCUCAUGACACCCCAAGUGCACGGGGCUGCUCACCCCCCAGGGCUGCCUCAGAUUUUGUACAAUCCCCGAAGCGUCCUCUGCGUAUGUGUGCCGUCCAUGUGUGUGUGGGAGUGAGUGCGAACACCACAAGAAAAAUGCACCCAGAAACACAACCUCUGACAGAA